Molecule: long non-coding RNA, 248 nt
Organism: Centruroides sculpturatus (bark scorpion)
Lineage: Eukaryota; Metazoa; Arthropoda; Arachnida; Scorpiones; Buthidae
Exons: 3
Source: RefSeq, a predicted model, not a curated record
ACCUUAUAAUUCANUUAGAGCAAAGCAUUCAUUUAGAUUUGAAUGGAAAUCACCCAUUAAUUCAGAAAACUUCAGUCUAUGUAAAUCAACCAGAAAUAAUUUUUUAUGAAAAUCUUUCAAUUAAUGUAAUACAUGCAUUACUAUUUCCAAGAGUACAAACAAAUGAAGAUGAAAUUAAAACACAUGAAAAUUUUUCAGAAGUUUCAUCUCAUUCUAAAGAAAUUAAUUUUUCUAAAAUUCCACUGGUA